RNAcentral lists this ribosomal RNA (119 nucleotides) under Clostridium sp. A254.MGS-251. The record is from RNAcentral. Lineage: Bacteria; Bacillati; Bacillota; Clostridia; Eubacteriales; Clostridiaceae.
UCUGGUGGCGAUGCGCUUAGGGGAAACACCCGUACCCAUCCCGAACACGAUGGUUAAGACCUAAGCGGCCGAUGGUACUGCAUUGGAGACGAUGUGGGAGAGUAGGUGGCUGCCAGAUU